CAGUCGCCGCGGGAAUACGUAGGGCGCAAGCGUUGUCCGGAAUUAUUGGGCGUAAAGAGCUCGUAAGCGGUCUGUCGCGUCUGGUGUGAAAUCCCGAGGCUCAACCUCGGGCUUGCAUCGGGUACGGGCAGACUAGAGUGCGGUAGGGGAGACUGGAAUUCCUGGUGUAGCGGUGGAAUGCGCAGAUAUCAGGAGGAACACCGAUGGCGAAGGCAGGUCUCUGGGCCGCAACUGACGCUGAGGAGCGAAAGCAUGGGGAGCGAACAGGAUUAGAUACCCCAGUAGUCCCUGUCUCUUAUAC
RNAcentral lists this ribosomal RNA (301 nucleotides) under uncultured bacterium. Its description in RNAcentral is "partial 16S ribosomal RNA". It matches the Rfam family "Bacterial small subunit ribosomal RNA", at positions 509 to 807 of the family's 1533-position model. The record is from RNAcentral.